CACAUAAUCCAAGACAAUCAUAAGCUUCUUUUGCUGUGACAACAAAAUAAUUUUUGAAUUAGAAUGCACAUUCACGCUAGCAUGCACAAAAAGUUGGCUAGAAUUUGAGAAUAACUAAGGUGUGCAAUAUGAAUAUGUUGAAUAUAAAAGAAUAAUGUUUAGAGGCCUUCAUAUCUACAUGUUCUUCCUAUUUUCUCCAUCAAAAUGGAAGAAGAUGUAUACCAUAAGUGCAGAACAUAGAAAGAACUAUGAUGGCCACUUAUUGGUAGUGG
Molecule: long non-coding RNA, 272 nt
Filed under: Elaeis guineensis (African oil palm)
Lineage: Eukaryota; Viridiplantae; Streptophyta; Magnoliopsida; Arecales; Arecaceae
Description: long non-coding RNA (EGUI_LNC023371)
Source: RNAcentral